GACCGUGCGAAGGUAGCAUAAUCAUUAGUUUUUUAAUUGAAGGCUAGAAUGAAUGGUUGGACAAGAAAUAAUCUGUCUUAGAUUAAUAUAUUGAAUUUAACUUUUAAGUGAAAAGGCUUAAAUGAUCUGAAGGGACGAUAAGACCCUAUAAAACUUUAUAUUGAAAAGUAAUAGGUAUGAUUUGUUUGAAGGGUUAUUACUUUAAAGUAUUUGGUUGGGGUGACAAAAAUAGAAUAGAAAGUAACUGUUUUUUUUUUUAACAAUAAUGUUUGGGUUAGUGAUCCUAAAAUGGAUUAAAGAUUAAGUUACUUUAGGGAUAACAGCGUAA
RNAcentral lists this ribosomal RNA (328 nucleotides) under Cambarus tenebrosus. Its description in RNAcentral is "partial 16S ribosomal RNA". The record is from RNAcentral. Lineage: Eukaryota; Metazoa; Arthropoda; Malacostraca; Decapoda; Cambaridae.